UACGUAGGGUGCGAGCGUUGUCCGGAAUUACUGGGCGUAAAGAGCUUGUAGGUGGCUUGUCGCGUUGUUCGUGAAAUCUCACGGCUUAACUGUGAGCGUGCGGGCGAUACGGGCAGACUAGAGUACUGCAGGGGAGACUGGAAUUCCUGGUGUAGCGGUGGAAUGCGCAGAUAUCAGGAGGAACACCGGUGGCGAAGGCGGGUCUCUGGGCAGUAACUGACGCUGAGGAGCGAAAGCGUGGGGAGCGAACAGG
RNAcentral lists this ribosomal RNA (253 nucleotides) under uncultured bacterium. RNAcentral describes it as "partial 16S ribosomal RNA". It matches the Rfam family "Bacterial small subunit ribosomal RNA", at positions 524 to 776 of the family's 1533-position model. The record is from RNAcentral.